AGGUAUGCUGGAGGUAUCAGAAGUGCGAAUGCUGACAUAAGUAACGAUAAAGCGGGUGAAAAGCCCGCUCGCCGGAAGACCAAGGGUUCCUGUCCAACGUUAAUCGGGGCAGGGUGAGUCGACCCCUAAGGCGAGGCCGAAAGGCGUAGUCGAUGGGAAACAGGUUAAUAUUCCUGUACUUGGUGUUACUGCGAAGGGGGGACGGAGAAGGCUAUGUUGGCCGGGCGACGGUUGUCCCGGUUUAAGCGUGUAGGCUGGUUUUCCAGGCAAAUCCGGAAAAUCAAGGCCGAGGCGUGAUGACGAGGCACUACGGUGCUGAAGCAACAAAUGCCCUGCUUCCAGGAAAAGCCUCUAAGCAUCAGGUAACAUCAAAUCGUACCCCAAACCGACACAGGUGGUCAGGUAGAGAAUACCAAGGCGCUUGAGAGAACUCGGGUGAAGGAACUAGGCAAAAUGGUGCCGUAACUUCGGGAGAAGGCACGCUGAUACGUAGGUGAAGCGACUUGCUCGUGGAGCUGAAAUCAGUCGAAGAUACCAGCUGGCUGCAACUGUUUAUUAAAAACACAGCACUGUGCAAACACGAAAGUGGACGUAUACGGUGUGACGCCUGCCCGGUGCCGGAAGGUUAAUUGAUGGGGUUAGCGCAAGCGAAGCUCUUGAUCGAAGCCCCGGUAAACGGCGGCCGUAACUAUAACGGUCCUAAGGUAGCGAAAUUCCUUGUCGGGUAAGUUCCGACCUGCACGAAUGGCGUAAUGAUGGCCAGGCUGUCUCCACCCGAGACUCAGUGAAAUUGAACUCGCUGUGAAGAUGCAGUGUACCCGCGGCAAGACGGAAAGACCCCGUGAACCUUUACUAUAGCUUGACACUGAACAUUGAGCCUUGAUGUGUAGGAUAGGUGGGAGGCUUUGAAGUGUGGACGCCAGUCUGCAUGGAGCCGACCUUGAAAUACCACCCUUUAAUGUUUGAUGUUCUAACGUGGACCCGUGAUCCGGGUUGCGGACAGUGUCUGGUGGGUAGUUUGACUGGGGCGGUCUCCUCCUAAAGAGUAACGGAGGAGCACGAAGGUUGGCUAAUCCUGGUCGGACAUCAGGAGGUUAGUGCAAUGGCAUAAGCCAGCUUGACUGCGAGCGUGACGGCGCGAGCAGGUGCGAAAGCAGGUCAUAGUGAUCCGGUGGUUCUGAAUGGAAGGGCCAUCGCUCAACGGAUAAAAGGUACUCCGGGGAUAACAGGCUGAUACCGCCCAAGAGUUCAUAUCGACGGCGGUGUUUGGCACCUCGAUGUCGGCUCAUCACAUCCUGGGGCUGAAGUAGGUCCCAAGGGUAUGGCUGUUCGCCAUUUAAAGUGGUACGCGAGCUGGGUUUAGAACGUCGUGAGACAGUUCGGUCCCUAUCUGCCGUGGGCGCUGGAGAACUGAGGGGGGCUGCUCCUAGUACGAGAGGACCGGAGUGGACGCAUCACUGGUGUUCGGGUUGUCAUGCCAAUGGCACUGCCCGGUAGCUAAAUGCGGAAGAGAUAAGUGCUGAAAGCAUCUAAGCACGAAACUUGCCCCGAGAUGAGUUCUCCCUGACCCUUUAAGGGUCCUGAAGGAACGUUGAAGACGACGACGUUGAUAGGCCGGGUGUGUAAGCGCAGCGAUGCGUUGAGCUAACCGGUACUAAUGAACCGUGAGGCUUAACCUUACAACGCCGAAG
Molecule: ribosomal RNA, 1691 nt
Filed under: Shigella flexneri
Lineage: Bacteria; Pseudomonadati; Pseudomonadota; Gammaproteobacteria; Enterobacterales; Enterobacteriaceae
Description: partial 23S ribosomal RNA
Rfam family: Bacterial large subunit ribosomal RNA
Source: RNAcentral